GUCGAACGCUGGCGGCGUGCUUAACACAUGCAAGUCGAACGGAAAGGCCCUGCUUUUGGGGGGUGCUCGAGUGGCGAACGGGUGAGUAACACGUGAGUAACCUGCCCUUGACUUUGGGAUAACUUCAGGAAACUGGGGCUAAUACCGGAUAGGAGCUCCUGCUGCAUGGUGGGGGUGGGAAAGCUUAGGCGGUUGGGGAUGGACCCGCGGCUUAUCAGCUUGUUGGUGGGGUAGUGGCUUACCACGGCUUUGACGGGUAGCCGGCCUUUGAGGGUGACCGGGCACAUUGGGCCUGAGAUACGGCCCAGACUGCUACGUGAGGCAGCAGUGGGAAGUCUUGUACAAUGGGCCGGAGCCUGAUGCGGCGACGUCGCGUUCGGGAUGACGGCUUUCGGGUUGCAAACCGCUUUCGCCUGUGACAGAGCGUGAGUGACGGUAAUGGGUAAAGAAGCACCGGCUAACUACGUG
Molecule: ribosomal RNA, 468 nt
Filed under: uncultured bacterium
Lineage: Bacteria
Description: partial 16S ribosomal RNA
Rfam family: Bacterial small subunit ribosomal RNA
Source: RNAcentral